Molecule: ribosomal RNA, 471 nt
Filed under: fungal sp. FLS-2010
Lineage: Eukaryota; Fungi
Also listed under: 2 other names
Description: eukaryotic LSU rRNA
Rfam family: 5.8S ribosomal RNA (bases 148-301)
Source: RNAcentral
GUGAACAUACCUAUAACUGUUGCUUCGGCGGGUAGGGUCUCCGCGACCCUCCCGGCCUCCCGCCUCCGGGCGGGUCGGCGCCCGCCGGAGGAUAACCAAACUCUGAUUUAACGACGUUUCUUCUGAGUGGUACAAGCAAAUAAUCAAAACUUUUAACAACGGAUCUCUUGGUUCUGGCAUCGAUGAAGAACGCAGCGAAAUGCGAUAAGUAAUGUGAAUUGCAGAAUUCAGUGAAUCAUCGAAUCUUUGAACGCACAUUGCGCCCGCCAGCAUUCUGGCGGGCAUGCCUGUUCGAGCGUCAUUUCAACCCUCAAGCUCUGCUUGGUGUUGGGGCCCUACAGCUGAUGUAGGCCCUCAAAGGUAGUGGCGGACCCUCCCGGAGCCUCCUUUGCGUAGUAACUUUACGUCUCGCACUGGGAUCCGGAGGGACUCUUGCCGUAAAACCCCCCAAUUUUCCAAAGGUUGACCUCG